Molecule: ribosomal RNA, 723 nt
Filed under: Cylindera belloides
Lineage: Eukaryota; Metazoa; Arthropoda; Insecta; Coleoptera; Carabidae
Description: partial 16S ribosomal RNA
Rfam family: Bacterial large subunit ribosomal RNA (bases 1-561)
Source: RNAcentral
UAAGGUCUAACCUGCCCAAUGAGGGUUUAAAUGGCCGCAGUAUUUUGACUGUGCAAAGGUAGCAUAAUUAUUAGUUUUUUAAUUGAAAGCUUGUAUGAAGGGUUGGACGAAAUAAAAUCUGUCUUUAUUUAAAUUACAGUAGAAUUUAACUUUUAAGUCAAAAGGCUUAAAUUUUUAUANAAGACGAGAAGACCCUAUAGAUCUUUAUUUAAUUAGUAUUUUAAUAAUUUAGGAUUAUUUUCGUUUAAAGUUUUAAUUAAAUUUUAUUGGGGUAAUAUAAAGAUUAAAAUAAUUCUUUUUAUUUUAUACAUUGAUUUAUGAAUAUAUGAUCCAAUAUUAUUGAUUAUAAGAUUAAGUUACCUUAGGGAUAACAGCGUAAUUUUUUUGGAGAGCUCAUAUCGAUAAAAAAGUUUGCGACCUCGAUGUUGGAUUAAAAGUUAGCUUGGGUGCAGAAGCUCAAGAUUUUGGUCUGUUCGACCAUUAAAUUUUUACAUGAUCUGAGUUCAGACCGGCGUAAGCCAGGUCGGUUUCUAUCUUUAUUUAAUUAAAAUAUUUUAGUACGAAAGGACCAGAUAUUUAAUAUAGCAAUAUUUAUUUUUUGAAUAAUAUUAUUACUUUGGCAGACUAGUGCAAUGAAUUUAGAAUUCAUGAAUGUAAUUUUUUUACAAGUAAUACUUGUUUUUAGGAGAUUUAUUGUUAAUAGUNUUAUGUAUAUUAAUUCUU